GACGAACGCUGGCGGCGUGCUUAACACAUGCAAGUCGAACGGAAAGGCCCUGCUUUUGUGGGGUGCUCGAGUGGCGAACGGGUGAGUAACACGUGAGUAACCUGCCCUUGACUUUGGGAUAACUUCAGGAAACUGGGGCUAAUACCGGAUAGGAGCUCCUGCUGCAUGGUGGGGGUUGGAAAGUUUCGGCGGGUGGGGAUGGACUCGCGGGUUAUCAGCUUGUUGGGGGGGUAGUGGCUUACCAAGGCUUUGACGGGUAGCCGGCCUGAGAGGGUGACCGGCCACAUUGGGACUGAGAUACGGCCCAGACUCCUACGGGAGGCAGCAGUGGGGAAUAUUGCACAAUGGGCGGAAGCCUGAUGCAGCAACGCCGCGUGCGGGAUGACGGCCUUCGGGCUGUAAACCGCUUUCGCCUGUGACGAAGCGUGAGUGACGGUAAUGGGUAAAGAAGCACCGGCUAACUACGUG
Molecule: ribosomal RNA, 468 nt
Filed under: uncultured bacterium
Lineage: Bacteria
Description: partial 16S ribosomal RNA
Rfam family: Bacterial small subunit ribosomal RNA
Source: RNAcentral